UGCGUAAAGCGUGUGGCUAGGCGUCGUAGCAGUCGUAAUCUCGCUUAACCUUGGAACCUCGAUGGACUGCCAGGCUAGAGUGGUCAGUAGGGGUGGAUUCCACCUGUUAGCUAUGAAUGCGUAGAGAUGUGGAGGAACCACCGAUGGCGAGCAGCCCCCUUGGAUGACACUGACGUCAUGCACGAAGCGUGGGGGAGCAAACAGCAUUAGAUACCUGCUAGUUCCCCGCCCCUAAACGAUGUCAACUGGUUGUUGGAAGGGUAACCUUUUUAGUUAACGAAGCUAACGCGUGAAGUUGACCGCCUGGGGAGUACGGUCGCAAGAUUAAAACUCAAAAGGAAUUGACGGGGACCCGCACACGCGGUGGAUGAUGUGGUUUAAUUUGAUGCAACGCGAAAAAACCUUACCCCACCUUUGACAUGUACGGAAUCCUUUAGAGAUAGAGGAGUGCUCGAAAGAGAGCCGUAACACAGGUGCUGCAUGGCUGUCGUCAGCUCGUGUCGUGAGAUGUUGGGUUAAGUCCCGCAACGAGCGCAACCCUUGUCAUUAGUUGCUACAUUCAGUUGGGCACUCUAAUGAGACUGCCGGUGACAAACCGGAGGAAGGUGGGGAUGACGUCAAGUCCUCAUGGCCCUUAUAGGUGGGGGUACACACGUCAUACAAUGGCUGGUACAGAGGGUUGCCAACCCGCGAGGGGGAGGUAAUCCCAUAAAGCCAGUCGUAGUCCGGAUCGCAGUCUGCAACUCGACUGCGUGAAGUCGGAAUCGCUAGUAAUCGCGGAUCAGAAUGUCGCGGUGAAUACGUUCCCGGGUCUUGUACACACCGCCCGUCACACCAUGGGAGCGGGUUCUGCCAGAAGUAGUUAGCCUAACCGCAAGGAGGGCGAUUACCACGGCAGGGUUCGUGACUGGGGUGAAGUCGUAACAAGGUAACC
This 934-nucleotide ribosomal RNA is filed under the name uncultured bacterium. RNAcentral's name for it is "bacterial SSU rRNA". It matches the Rfam family "Bacterial small subunit ribosomal RNA", at positions 557 to 1501 of the family's 1533-position model. The record is from RNAcentral.